CACGAAUCGGCACCCUAGCGCACAGGCACGCGCACUGGCAGGCGGCCGGCGGCGGUGGGCGCCGUCAUUUAUCCGGGCUCCGGUUUCCGGCGGCAGACGGCAGCAAGCUAGCAAGCGCCACUACGACUGCGAGUCUGACCAGCAACAGCAAGGGCGCGCGACCUCUUGGCCCUCCUCCAUUCUCCCGUUGUCUGCAAAUUGUGGCUCCGACCUCCAUUCAAUAGCCAAGAAGCAAGACAUCAUUCAAGAAUGGAUAGAAAGGGGAAGGGAAAAGAUUUGAGGAAAUACUUUGUACCAAUUGCUAGUGGCAGUAGCCAAAACCAAGCACCCAUGAAAGUGCAAAUGUUAUGAUACAUGAAGAGGAGCAGGAGCAAGAAGUGGAAGGAGGGACUAGAAAUUCUAUGGGGGGCGAGCAAGUGGAAGAAGGAACCAAAGAUUUCGUCGAAACCAUAGUGGAAGAGAAUGUUGAGGUCCCAGAAGCUACAGGAGGAGCUUCACUUCAGAAUCGGUGGGUGGCAGUAUGGGCCGUUGAGCCAGCCAUUGGCCACCCGUUCGUUGGCGGCUUCGCUUAGGUGCAUACCAUCCCAAGAGAGGUAGCUCGAUGGGUCAUGGCAGACGCUCGCGCCAUCCAUCCCGCAAAUGGCACCCAGAUCGAAUCCGUUUGGUGCGUCGCAUUUCCGCAACAGCUUGUGAGGACAGUCUCAAAGCCUGCACAAAGAAACCGGACCGAAAAUGAGGUGAUAAUUAGGGUUCACAAUUUCAUUUUCAGUCUGAUUUUGGAAAUGACUGAAAUAACCAAAAACAAUUGUGAUCUUUGUUUUAAAUUUGAACAAACCAAAGAACUUAUGUUUGAAUCUUCCGAAAUUACAAACAAAUUGAGCAAACUUGAUUUCAUUUUGAACCCGGCCCAAUUUCAAGUGACAACAGUUUUUUACCAGAACAUAAAUAUUUCAGUACCCGCUGAAAUGGUGAAAUUUUGGUCAUAUCCCUGAGCCUACUGAUGUUUGAACCAUCAAAUUUAUUUGAAGCUCCUAACCAGUUAUUCUUUUAGAA
Long non-coding RNA from Brachypodium distachyon (stiff brome), 1053 nucleotides. RefSeq lists it as uncharacterized. Lineage: Eukaryota; Viridiplantae; Streptophyta; Magnoliopsida; Poales; Poaceae. The transcript has 3 exons. The record is from RefSeq and is a predicted model, not a curated record.